This 467-nucleotide ribosomal RNA is filed under the name uncultured bacterium. Its description in RNAcentral is "partial 16S ribosomal RNA". It matches the Rfam family "Bacterial small subunit ribosomal RNA", at positions 28 to 507 of the family's 1533-position model. The record is from RNAcentral.
GACGAACGCUGGCGGCGUGCUUAACACAUGCAAGUCGAACGGAAAGGCCCUGCUUUUGUGGGUGCUCGAGUGGCGAACGGGUGAGUAACACGUGAGUAACCUGCCCUUGACUUUGGGAUAACUUCAGGAAACUGGGGCUAAUACCGGAUAGGAGCUCCUGCUGCAUGGUGGGGGUUGGAAAGUUUCGGCGGUUGGGGAUGGACUCGCGGCUUAUCAGCUUGUUGGUGGGGUAGUGGCUUACCAAGGCUUUGACGGGUAGCCGGCCUGAGAGGGUGACCGGCCAAAGUGGGACGGAUAUACGGCCGAGACUCCGAGGGGAGGCAGCAGGGGGGAAUAUUGCAGAAGGGGCGGAGGCCUGAUGCAGCAACGCCGCGGGCGGGAGAACGGCCUGCGGGUUUUAACCCGCUUUCGCCUGUGACGAAGGGUGAGGGACGGUAAGGGGUAAAGAAGCACCGGCUAACUACGUC